UCGAGAAUCUUCCUCAAUGGCCGAAAGGCUGACGGAGCGACGCCGCGUGUAUGAUGACGCCUUUCGGGGUGUAAAAUACUUUUAAUCGGGACGAAAUACUGACGGUACCGAUUGAAUAAGGGGCUGCUAACCUCGUGCCAGCAGCAGCGGUAAUACGAGGGCCCCAAGCGUUAUCCGGAUUUAUUGGGCGUAAAGAGUGUGUAGGCGGUUUAUAACAUCUCCUGUUAAAUCUUAAGGCUCAACCUUGAGGCUGCGGGAGAUAUGGAUAAACUAGAGUUCGGAAGAGGCAAGUGGAAUUGCUGGUGUAGGGGUUAAAUCCGUUAAUAUCAGCAGGAACACCAAAAGCGAAGGCAGCUUGCUGGGACGACACUGACGCUGAGACACGAAAGCGUGGGGAGCGAAUGGG
This 406-nucleotide ribosomal RNA is filed under the name uncultured bacterium. RNAcentral describes it as "bacterial SSU rRNA". It matches the Rfam family "Bacterial small subunit ribosomal RNA", at positions 355 to 776 of the family's 1533-position model. The record is from RNAcentral.